AAUAACUGGGAGAUGAAACAGGAAGCUCUAUGACACAGUUGAUCGAAAAUGACACAGACACAGAAAAAUCAGGACUCGGCCCCCUCCAGUGCCUCUACCUGCUGCCCACAGCCGGAGUGCAGGUGCCCAAGGACAACCAUGCUGGCGUCCUUCUCCUGGUCACAGCCAGACCUCCACCGGGACCUGUGGGCUGCAAGAUGCUGACAAUGGAUGAGGGUGGCCCACCCGGCCCCCAGGGCAGUCAGUGCCUGGCCUACUGCCCACCUGGCCCCUGCUCCAGCCCUCACGUGCAGUCCCUCUGGAAGAACAUUGCUCCUCUUAGAAAAAGGCCACCUGACUUCCCUGACCCACCUCUUCUUGAGAAAAGAGUGACCCAGGAAAGUAUUUCUGAAGACGUGGUCAGUGCCGGGGCCCCUCAUUUAGGGUUGCAAUGAUGGAGAUUCCAGAAAUUACAGAAGUCGGUCAGAUGCACCCCUGUUCUGGCCUGCAUGGUCUCUGGCAAGCGGCUGGGUCCCUGAGCUCCACUUGCCAAAUUCACCAUGUCAACGUGGGGGCAUAUUUGCAAUAAUGUAUGAAAACACAAAGGACAGAUUCAGUGAUGGUGACUAUCAUCGUUAUUAUUUUAAUUCAUAAAAACCGAAGAUUGAAAAAAAGAAAUGUAUCAAGGAAAUAAUAGAAACAUGCCAUCGGUAAAAAUAUUCUAACAACCUAAGCUAUAAAACGUAAACUAACGAAAGGAAGAAAAGAUCUAAAAAGCUGGGGUUAGCCCAGACAGCAGUCUCAGAAAAGAGAACAGCCUUAGAAAGCACCUGAGAAUCGAAGGGCCUGCUUCCAGGGCUUCCUCCGCUCUCCGCGGUCAAGACGGGGCCCGAUCCCAAAGCUGCAUGGCCAGAUACCGUAUAGAAACAGUGAUUUGCUUUAAUGUAAAUAUUUUGAUGUAAAAUUUCUUUACCUGAACUUUUAACCUUGCAGGUAAACAGGGUAUGUACAGUAAAUGAUUGUUUUUCUGAGAACUGACUUUUGAGGAAACGGGGGAAAAGGAUUUUUAUUAGCUAAUUGUCAGUCUUGUGCAUGAUUGAAAACCUCAUUAUUCUGCGUCACAAGAUCUGCUUCAGGAGACAUUCAGCCACCAAAAAGUGCUUUAUUUGACUUUAUGAAAAAGAAAACUUUAAAAUGUGUAAAUACGCCAAUCCAAAAAUCACAAAACUUACAAAGACAAUGGAGGGAGGGAAGUCAUUCUGUAGAAGGUUUCUGAGACAAGAGGAACAAUCCAACCAAAAUCCAAGUUGUUUCUAACUAGAAACUUUGCACCCUUCAUUUCCCUGUGGACUCUGGUCCUACUCUCCCUUUCCAUCUAUUGUAACCUCUGAGGUCUUGGAAUGGAAGGCAACGGGCGUCUGAGGUCCUGGCCUCAGCGUGAGCCUUAAGAUAGAU
This 1434-nucleotide long non-coding RNA is filed under the name Ursus maritimus (polar bear). RNAcentral describes it as "lncRNA (ENSUMAG00000011454.1)". The record is from RNAcentral. Lineage: Eukaryota; Metazoa; Chordata; Mammalia; Carnivora; Ursidae.